GCCUCCAUGGGUCAAGACAGACUCUGUGAUCUUGCUCUGUUGAGUGUAGAAAGAGAAGAAACUGAAAAAACUAACUUUGAUCACAUCAUAGACCAAUUUGCAUCAGUGAAAGCAAGGAAGGUGCAGUUAUAAUUUUCAGGGACUGGCCCCAUUUGGCCCGAAAAAGGAACAUCCACUGGAUUUGCUCCCUCGGAAGUCACCUGAAGAGGUCUGUCUCCAGCUACCACUGGUGUGUCUGAUGGUGACUCAGAGGCGGGCCUUCUCUGUAGCCGCUCCUGGACUGUGGAAUGCACUCCUGGCAGAAAUCCGCAAUUUGAAUUCUUUAUUGGCCUUCAGGAGAGCCCUUAAAACCUAUCUGUUUGGCUUGGCCUUCCAGGAUUUUUAAACAGUUGUAAUUGGUUUUAAUGUUGUAACCUGGUUUUCAGGGUUUUUUAAUUGUUCUGAUUGCUUAAUUGCUGUUUUAUGAUAUUUUAAUUGUUAAUUGUUGUUGUUUUACACUGUUUUAUAAUUUAUGUUUUAAUUGUUAAUUGAUUUUAAUGGUUUUGUUUUAAUUGUAAACUGCCCUGAGCCAUUUUGGAAGGGCAGUAUAAAAAAUUGAAUGAAUGAAUGAAUAACAGUGCAGAGACCAUAACAACAAUGCACCAUACGGACAAACUACACUAACUUUACUUGCUCAUUAAUAAAUUGUCAAAUGUCAACAAAAAGCAAGAGCAAACAGGACAGCCUUCAGAUGACACCUAAGAGCCCCUGGUGGCGCAGUGGUAAAACUGCCGCCCUGUAACCAGAAGGUUACAAGUUCGAUCCUGACCAAGGGCUCAAGGUUGACUCAGCCUUCCAUCCUUCCGAGGUCGGUAAAAUGAGUACCCAGAAUGUUGGGGGCAAUAUGCUAAAUCAUUGUAAACCGCUUAGGGAGCUUCCAGCUAUAGAGCGGUAUAUAAAUGUAAGUGCUAUUGCUAUUGCUAAGUGCUAAAAGAUAGAGGGGCUAUUCACAUGAUGGCAAGGGUGGGCAGGUGUGGGGGGGAGGUGUGUUCAACCUACCUUCCCCCAAAUGAUCAUGUUGAGCCUCUGUACCAUGCAAGCCAUGUGCCCACAUGACAUAUGCUGCUCCUGACAGCGUGGAUCAGCAGAGGCUGGGACUCAUUAUCCCAGCCUCUAAAUAUCCCACAGUGCACUGCAUGCUGAUUGCAGGGCACUGGGUGAUUCCCCCAGGCAACAGGCACUCUAGGCACCUGUCUCUGUUCCAGCGCAUGCUAUACAAGCAGCUCAUGCUGACACAUGAUCAGCUGGGUUAAGGGUGUGUUUGUGCCCUCAACUGCAGCUAAGAGCCAUGCUUCAGCAGUGUGUCUGGCACUGUGGGGCCACUGGGAUCCCUGUGGAUCCUGGCAGUUCUUAUGGCAGCCAAGCCCAGGCUUGGCAGCUUGUGAGAACAGUCUUAGUGGCUGACAUACUGCUCAGCAUUCUGUCUGAAUAUUAAUGAAGCAUGCAUGCAGUUGCGCAAUUGCAACUUUUAGAUUGUGAUCACUUUGGGACAGGAAGCCAUUUUAUUUAUUUAUUUUUAUUUCUUUACCUAAACCGCUUUGGGAACUUUAGUUGAAAAGCAGUAUAUAAAUAUCCAUAGUAGUAGAACUAGUAGUGUUAGCACUCUUGCACAAACAUAUGAAAUGGUGCAAACUGAGCCGGGCAAUGGACGGCCAUUGUACAACUGUGUUUGCACAAUUUUUGCAACAGCGUGUACUUUUUGUUAAAAUGUACAUGGAAUGUUGUGCAAUAUGUCAGCCAGCAGAAUUAUUGGCUGCACACAAACUAGCUGUAACUCUCCCUUACCCAGUUGAAGCACAGUCACUGGGGUUGAGCCAGCUGCCUGCCUCUUCGAUGAGGCAGAAAGGCUUAGUAUUGGCCAUGGCAUCUGGUCCUCCUAGUUUGUUCUUUAUUCUGGCGAUGCUCGUAAAUCAUUGCCAUGGAUGCCUAGAGCUUAGCACAGGUCUUCCUCUGUCUGUUUAUAGUACUCUAAAUAAAUAAAUAAGUUAUGCAAGCUGUGUGUCUCAGCAAAUCCCCUGAGAGUCCCUUCCAAUUUUUCGGUAUGAAAUGUGUGCUUUUGUAGGCCAUAACUCACAAUCAUGUUGCUUUUGUAUGUUUACUUGCCUUCUGCAGUAAUAUGCUAAUGUAGUUCACUCAGGGGUUUAUGAGAGUUCAAUAAACAAC
This is a long non-coding RNA of Hemicordylus capensis (graceful crag lizard), 2202 nucleotides long. RefSeq lists it as uncharacterized. The record is from RefSeq and is a predicted model, not a curated record. Lineage: Eukaryota; Metazoa; Chordata; Lepidosauria; Squamata; Cordylidae. The transcript is spliced from 3 exons.